This 292-nucleotide ribosomal RNA is filed under the name uncultured bacterium. RNAcentral's name for it is "partial 16S ribosomal RNA". It matches the Rfam family "Bacterial small subunit ribosomal RNA", at positions 505 to 796 of the family's 1533-position model. The record is from RNAcentral.
GUGUCAGCAGCCGCGGUAAUACGGAGGGUGCAAGCGUUGUUCGGAAUUAUUGGGCGUAAAGCGCGUGUAGGCGGACAGUUAAGUCCGGUGUGAAAUCCCUCGGCUCAACUGAGGACGUGCACUGGAUACUGGCGGUCUUGAAUCCUGGAGAGGGUAGCGGAAUUCCCAGUGUAGAGGUGAAAUUCGUAGAUAUUGGGAGGAACACCGGUGGCGAAGGCGGCUACCUGGACAGUGAUUGACGCUGAGACGCGAAAGCAUGGGUAGCAAACAGGAUUAGAAACCCCUGUAGUCC